CCAGAGGUCACUCUCGUCGCCAUCUUGGUUUUGGUGGGUUUUGGCUGGCUUUUUUACUGCAGCCUGUUUUAUCAGCAAGGUCUUUAUGACCUGUAUCUUGUGCUAACCUCCUGUCUCAUCCUGUGACUUAGAAUGCCCUAACCAUCUUGGAAUGCAGCCCAACAGGUCUCAGCCUCAUUUUACGCAGCUCCUAUUCAAGAUGGAGUUGCUCUGGUUCAACACCUCUGACAGCUUUAAUUUGGAAGAGAUGGAAAACUUUGAGGAGGUCCCGGAGAAUGACCAGCAACCUCACAGACAGAAUCCUGGGUACCUUGGGUAAAGGCUUCCUCUCCAUGCCACCCACAAGACACUGUGACCCCAAUCUCCAGCCCUCCACCUCUCUGGAAUUUUUCUAUUAUAUCAUCUGUCCACUCAACAGCUCCCCCAGAUUUUACUUGUGUUUUUUAUCAAACCUAUCAUCUUCCUCCAAAACUCGCUGCUCCUCUUGUAAUUCCUCCGUUGGUGAAAAACACUCCAUCUUCUCCAUACACGACAACAAUUGGACUUCAAAAUGAACUUUUGCACAUCAAAUGGCACUGUAAACAGAGUAAAAAGACAACCUAUAGGUCAGGAGCAGUGGCUCACGCCUGUAAUCCCAGCACUUUGGGAGGCUGAGGAUCAUGAGGUCAGGAGAUUGAGAGCAUCCUGGCUAACACGGUGAAACCCCGUCUCUACUAAAAAUACAUUACAUAUAAGCAUUGUGUAAUGCUUCCCCUGCCUACACCACGUUCAGAAUCAUACACUCUUGCUCGUUCUUCUGGGAUUCGGGGAGACAUCUGCUCCUUUCACCUAAUUUUAAUACCCAGUGUUCUAAUCCAGGUCUCAAUGUCUCUUGUAUGGGUUACCUCAACCAGCAUCCGCAUCAACAUCCCAGCCUCCCCAAGGCAUACACCAUGGACCUGAGUUGUUAGGUCAUGGGCUAUGUGUCUCCAGCUUUCAGAGAAACUCUGUAAAAUCAGAGGAGCAGCACCUCUAAUUGACUCUUCUAUUUCUACCUGAGGCAACCGGAUAUGGUAGCAAAUAUUAUACCCUAUUUGCCCCUUACUUUAAAAUCUAUUGCUUCGUUAUAUAAACUUUUACUAGGUCUUAGAUUUCUUUAGGUCUUGCCUUAUUGGAAGAAAUUCUGUGUGCAAUCUUGCUGAAGAAGGUCCUCCUAAAUGUAGGUAAAGGAAGGAAAAAAGCUGGUGCGGCUUCACCUGUAGAUGAAAUCCUGAACAGUACAGCCUUUUAGGAAAAAAAAAAAUGAUAAAAUUGGAAGUAGGAAACAUCUCAAGAAUAAAACUCUGGGGCGAAGUUUAGAAGGGGGAUGAAGGAUAAAAGACUACAUAUUGGGUAGAGUGUACACUGCUCAGGUGAUGAAUCCCCCAAAAUCUCAGAAAUCACCACUAAAGAAUUUAUCCAUGUAACCAAACACCACCUGUUCCCCAAAAACAGUUGAACUAAAAAUUAAAAAAAAAAAAAAACAAAAAAAAAACCUCCAUUCCCUGAUUAGAAACCACAAAAGGGGCCUUAAGAGGUUGUCUGUAAAUAAUGUACCUUGAAUCUCUCAAGGUCUUUCAUGCUGAUUGACCAUCACAGGAAAUGGUAUUCAAAUCAGCAUCUAUCAUUUUCGGAAGGUUUAUAAACUGACAUUUUACUUUGCCAGAAAUAGGAGACUCAGAAUCCAAUCUUGUUUGUGUCUUCUCUCGUGUUACAGAGGCAAAUGAACUGAUGAACCUGGCAGAUUUCCCAUCUUCAAACAAUGAUGGUUCAUGCUGACACUCUGUCCCUGGCUGCAGAGGGCACCUCUUUUUUUGUUCACCUGACAAAAAACAACAAUUGGAUUGGUCUCUCCCAGACCACGUGGUCCUCACAGGCUGCCCAUCAUGGGCCUCAACUCCCCUGACCACGUGGGACAGGCACAAGACCCACAGUACUCUGUUCAGACUCUCUCUCAGGCAUCUGAAAUUUCCAUGGAGACAGAAGGACAAAAGGACAGAGCUGUCUUUUCAACAAAUGUUGCUGGGAGAACUGGAUAUCUACUUGCCGAAGAAUGAAGUCAUACCCUUAUCUCACAGUAUCUACAAAAACUAGCUUAAAAUAGACUAAAGAGCUAAACGGAAAAGUUAAAAUUAUAAAACAUAAGGAGAAAGCUUCAUGGCAUUGGAUUUGGCAGUGAUUUCUUCUUUAUGACACUAAAAGCACAGGCGACAAAAGAAAAAAGACGGAAAUUGGACUCCAAAAUGAAGAAUUUUGCACAUCAAAAGGCACUGUAAACAGAGUAAAAAGACAACCUAUAGGCCGGGCGCGUGGGGCUCACGCCUGUAAUCCCAACACUUUGGGAAGCCGAGGCAGGUGGAUCAUGAAGUCAGGAGAUCGAGACCAUCCUGGCUAACACGGUGAAACCUUAAAAAUACAAAAACAAAAUGAGCCGGGCGUGGUGGCGGGCACCUGUAGUCCCAGCUACUAGAGAGGCUGAGGCGGGAGAAUGGCGUGAACCCAGGAGGCGGAGCUUGCAGCGAGCCGAGAUCGCGCCACUGCACUACAGAGCAAGACUCCGUCUCAAAAAAAAAAAAAAAAGAAAAGAAAAAAAGACAACCUAUAGAAUGCGAGAAAAUGUUUGUAAAUCAAAUUCCUAAUAAAAAAUUAAUAUUCAUAAUAUGUAAAGGACUCCUAUAACUCAACAACAACAAUUAAAAACUAGGCAAAGGACUUCAAUAGACAUUUCUCCAAAUAAGUUAUACAAAUGGCCAAUGAGCCCAGGAAGAGAUGUUCAGCAUCACUAAUCAUUAGGGAAAUGGAAACCAAAACCACAGUGAGAUCCCACCUCACACCCAUUAGGAUGGCUACUAUCAAACAAGCAGAGAAUAGCAGGUGUUGGUGAGGAUGUAGAGGGAUUGGAAGGAACUCUUGCGCAUUGCUGGUGGAAAUGUAAAAUGGUGCAGCUACUAUGGAAAGCAGCACAGAAGUUCCUCAAAAACUUAAAAAUAGAAUUACCAUAUGAUCCAGCAAUUUUGUUUCUAGGUGCAUACCCAAAGGAAUUGAAGGCUGGAACUCAAAGAGUUAUUUGUACACCUAUGUUUGCAACAGCAUCAUUUACAGUAGUGUGAAAAGAUCACCGUGGGCAUGUUAACAUUUUAAAGCAUUUAUGUGAGCAGACAAUGAUUCAUGAAUCUGGUAGCACCAAACUGCAAGUAGUUUGGGCUCCACCAAGAGGGUGUGAGGGGAAAAUUGUUAAAAGGUGAUCAUGAAAGCAAGACAAAGAAAAUAUUUGAUUGGCUAAGGCAGGAAGUCUCCAGUUAGAGGUCAGCUGGAGGUUUCUGAUUGGUAAAUUCUGUAGUGAGAGGUUAGUUAGCAGUUUCUGAAUGGUUAAGCUGGGGUUUCAUUUUCCCAGGCUAUGGUCACUCACACUGAAUGGGGUUUCAGUUUGCUUAUGUAGGAAUCCAAGGUGCUGGGUUCUCAGCCAAAUGGACUCCAAAUUAAUUGUUUUUAACAAUAGCCAAAAGGUUAAUCAGCUCAAAUGUCCACUGAUGGAAUGAGUCAAUUAAUUUGUUUACUUGUCCAUGAAUGAGUAAACAAAAUGUGGUAUAUACAUACAAUUAAAUAUUAUUCAGCCUUAAAAAGGAAGAAAAUUCUGACCCAUGCCAUAAUGUGGAUGAACUUUGAAGACAUUACGCUAAGUAAGAUAAGCCAGUCACAAAAAUAACAAACUCUGUGUGAUUCCCCUCAUAGGGGGUCCAUAGUCAAAUUCAUAGAAACAGAAUAGUGGUUGUGGGGGCUGGGCAGAGGGGGAGUCAUUGUCUAAUUUGUGGUGUUAAAUUAAGCUUAGCCUAAAGCUGACUGCUUACAUAUUUUAAGUUUAGCCUAAAGAUCCCUCCAUACAUGGUGAACUGUCUCCUAACUGGAUGUAUGAACAGAUUGUAACCUACUCUUGUACCAGUCACUGAGUUUCUGCAAAUCAAAGGUGACCAGACCCUGUUUAAAUACGGCAAACAUUGAGCUGUAGCCAAUACAGUAGUUUCUGCACCUCACUUCCAGUUUCUGUACAUUACUUUCCUUUUUCUGUCCAGCGAUCUUUGACCAUGCUGCAGCAACGGGGUCUCUCUGAACCUAUUCUGGUUUAGGAGACUGCCCAAUUCAUGAAUCUUUCUUUGUUCAAUUAAACUCUGUUAAAUUUAAUUUAUCUGAAGUCUUUAUUUUAACAAUUACAGAGUUUCAGUUUUGCAAAAUAUAAAGAGUUCUGUGGAUAGAUGGUGGUGAUGGUUUCACAACAAUGCAAUGGUAGUCAAUGCCACUGAUCCAUACCCUUAAACAGAGUGAAAAUUGUCAAUUUUAUAUUAUUUUAUCACAAUAAAAAGAAAAGGAGGUCAGAGCUGAGCCAUCAGGCAACAGCCUCCAGAGUGUUGCUCUGUCAUUGUGUGCUGUUGAAGCCCCCGGUGCUUCCCUGACCCCUCCAUGGCAGACCUGAAGGUUCGGCGCUCUUUUCUAGCCUGUGAGUGCCCCGUUAUGUUUACCAUCAAGUCCUCUUUCGGACGAAGUCACCCAGGGUAGGCUUCCUUUUGCCAAAGAGCAUUCCCUGAAAUGCCAGCAUUCUACAUAAAGUGGCUGCAGCUAUCUGCCUACCAGAGAGCCAUCCCCAAAUUGUUCUAUGGAAAAAAGAAUACCUGCCGUUUGCUUGCCACCCCUUAUGCACCCUGCUGCCACCUCGUUCCAGGGUCAUCCUAAGCCCUCCAGAAUGAAGAUUUAUUUGGCAGUACAUUCAUGUUUUUAUUUUGGUUUCUGUCUAAUAUUCUUUCCUAUUUUCAUUCCUGUAGUGGCAGGUACCACAGCUCAUGGGCCAGUAAAAGCUACCAAUUGCACCAGUCCUGAUUCCUGGGCAUGAUGUGAUAGUCUUCACUCAUCCUGUCUGGGUGAGGAGCUUGUGCAGACAUCAUCUUCAUCUUACCCAAGAGAAAACGGAGGCUCCAAGAGGGGAGGGGAUUUUCCCAAAGUCUCAGAAUGAAUAAGAUGAUGGAGCCAGUGUCUUGCCCAGCCCUGUCUAACUUCAAAGACCAUAAUCUCUAUCCAUUGGAGAAAGCGUGGCUGGGAUGUUCUGUAUAUCGGAGUAGCUCUUGGAUCAAAUGCUAAAGAGCCAGAGAUAACUCUCCAAAUCACAUAGAUUGAUUUGAGACUAAGACUCAUUAUUAUUACUUAAAAAAUAUAUUUUUUAAACUACUUAUGGCAUGAAAAGCAAAUUUGCAAAUUGAAACAAGGCAGUCAAUAGAUCAACAGAUGUCAUUUUUUAAAGCCAAAUUGAACACAUUCACUAGAGCAUAUGAGACUCAGUGGCAGAGCAAGAGAUCAUGAAAUUAAAUUAAAUUUACUUUAAUUAAUGUAUAAAUCUACAAUUUAAUUAAUUGGGUUAAAUUACUGCAAAACACAGCCAAUCUCAAAUGGAGGGAUUUCUGAAUCAAAG
Molecule: long non-coding RNA, 5473 nt
Filed under: Homo sapiens (human)
Lineage: Eukaryota; Metazoa; Chordata; Mammalia; Primates; Hominidae
Description: HSALNT0098323
Source: RNAcentral